CCAUCAUUUAGUUUGGGCGACUCUAAGGAGACUGCCGGUGUUAAACCGGAGGAAGGUGGGGAUGACGUCAAGUCCUCAUGGCCCUUAUGUCCAGGGCUACACACGUGCUACAAUGGCCGGUACAAAGGGCAGCAAAGCCGCGAGGUGGAGCCAAUCCCAGAAAGCCGGUCUCAGUUCGGAUUGGAGUCUGCAACUCGACUCCAUGAAGUUGGAAUCGCUAGUAAUCGCGGAUCAGCAUGCCGCGGUGAAUACGUUCCCGGGCCUU
RNAcentral lists this ribosomal RNA (265 nucleotides) under uncultured Desulfuromonas sp. RNAcentral describes it as "partial 16S ribosomal RNA". It matches the Rfam family "Bacterial small subunit ribosomal RNA", at positions 1118 to 1382 of the family's 1533-position model. The record is from RNAcentral. Lineage: Bacteria; Pseudomonadati; Thermodesulfobacteriota; Desulfuromonadia; Desulfuromonadales; Desulfuromonadaceae.